Molecule: ribosomal RNA, 1699 nt
Filed under: Triticum aestivum (bread wheat)
Lineage: Eukaryota; Viridiplantae; Streptophyta; Magnoliopsida; Poales; Poaceae
Description: partial small subunit ribosomal RNA
Source: RNAcentral
AUGCGGCCGCGCGGCAGAGGAGACGACCCUGACGACGACGAGGACUACGAGUCCUCCCCGCAGCGGAGCGCCUCGGGGCAGGAUGCCGAGCCCGAAGAGCCCGCGCCGCCGCCGCCUCAGCCUGCGCGCGCGCCCCUCAGCAGCCUAGUCGUCAGGCCUUCGCCGCCGCCGCCGCCGCAGGAUAACGGCGCGUCCUCCCCGUCCCCGUCCCCUGCCCGUUCGCCCCCCUCCCCCGUCGGCGACGCCCAGGGUCGCCGCCGCGGGUCCUCGCUCCCGCGUCGCCGUCGCGAGUNNNNNNNNNNNNNNNNNNNNNNNNNNNNGAGACGCCGGUCGCCGCCGCCCCCUGCGAGGCGCCGCCCUGGCAGCCCCCCGCCCCCCCAGCGCCGCCGCUUCAGCCCACCCGGUUACCAGCCUCGGCCCCCACGAUUCUACGACGAGCCGCAAGGAUAUGGCAUGCAUGCUGGACCAUCACCUCCGCGCCAACGCAGAUUAGAAAGCAGCAACUUUGAUGACGCUAUUGGUCCACGUUACACCCAUGGCUAUGAAGGGAAUGGUAGAGGAUAUGCAAGGGGUGGUAGGGGAUAUGAAGGGGGUGGUAGGGGAUAUGAAGGGGCUGGCAGAGGAGGUGCAAGGUUCCGAGAUGUUUCUCCACCAUAUGGAAGAGGAGGCAGGUCGCAUGGGAGGGGGGGCUAUAAUGGUCCUGGCAAGGAGUUCAUUCUAAUUGAUGGAGAAUAUGUUCACAGGAAUGAUCCAAAUCUUUCACCAAGAGAAGGUGAUUGGAUAUGCCAGAAUCCGAGUUGUGGAAACCUCAACUUUGCUCGAAGAAGUCACUGUAACAACUGCAACAAACACCGCUAUGAGUCUAGUCGCAGUCCUCACAGGGGUUACUUUGACUCUCCUCCACGAGUGCCUGCAAGGCCGCUUGGUCCACCAGGUGAUCGUGCCCCUCCAAGAGAAAUGGCCAGGUACAAGCCAGCACCCCGUGAUUGGGGUGUGGGUGAUCCUAGAAGUUAUCCAGCUAGAUCGCCUCCAGAACGUGUAGGACGAUUUCCAGAUCCGUUGCAGAGGGAAAGGGGUUUCCGUGGUGAACGUGAGUUGCGUGACCCUGUGAAGUUUGAGUGGUCUGCUGCGGAGUACAAGCAGAGGGAGCGUCCACAUGGUGGGUUGUAUCUUGACAGGAGCCGAUCUCCUCAGGGGAGCUGGGGGAGUGAUAUGCGGGACAGAAGCAGAUCUCCUGCAGGUAACAGACCAAUGAAGGGCGCUUUCUUGGGCAGAGGUCGACCAGACCUAGAGUAUGCUGGUUCAUAUGUAGGCCGAGGGCGGUUGGAUGCUGGGCGUGGGCGUGGACGUGGGCGUGGCCGCGUUUACAGGCCAGGAGGUGAUCCAUACCCUGGCGAGGGUCGAGAUGAUCGGCGUGCUGCUCUUCAUGGUAGGGAUGAUGGUCGGUACUAGUUCAUCCUUGGAACUGAUGCUCUGGAAAGAAAAAUCUAGUUAAGACGGUGCAGGUCUAGCCUGUAAUAUUAAACUACCCGUACUGUUUCCUCAACUGUGAUGACAUUUGCAAUGUUCUGAAAUGAACAAGUCCACUAUACAUUGGAUGGUGGUAUUAUUUUGGUUCAGUGAGCAACUGGGUUGUUAUGUCAAAGCCGAUCUGAUUAUUUGGUUCUUUUGGGUUGCUUCUCGGUUGGGUUAUUAUACC